GCCAACUGCACCAGCUAGCAACGCUUGAUUGUACCACAUUGAUCUUCCCCGCCAACUUCAGAGUGUGUCCCUCCAUCGGCGAUGAUCUAAGCUUGCGUCUGCAGCGGUAUGAUCCAGCCCAACUGCAGCGACGCCUUCAGUCCUUUGCUUUCAUAUAUUGCCAGAUCUGAGACCAUCCUCAGAAUCAGUACCAUUGCUCUCACAUUGCUGCAGCGGAUACUCUGAACAAUACCAUUGCUUGCUGGAUCGUUCUCUCAUCAGAAGUCUACUCAGAAUCAGUACCAUCCUUCUCUCAUAUUUAACUUGUUCCCGCUUCUCAUUUAUCUGAGAAAAAAUCAGGGAAACAAAAGCCGGACCUCUCCAAUCAUUAGCUCUGAACGGAAAAAUACUUAUGGAAGGGUACAUUUAUUAUGCAGUGAUCACGAAGAUAAUACACAACGGAUACCAGAAGGAAAUAAAGGCUUAUAGGGUGUAUCUGAAUAUUAUGCGCAGGUGGCACCUAAGAUAGUUGACGCAAAAUAGUGGUAACAGAAAGUAGUAGGUGCUGCACCAAAAAUCAAAGCAAAAAGCACACCGACCAAAUCCAAUGAGGUGAACAAACAAAAUGGGAGUAUAAAUGAUGUGCAGAAUGUUUCAACUCGUUUUUACCUGGUAACAAUUUGGGCCGUCACCAACCAGACAGGUAUUCACUCUUCUUAUAUCUGCCGCAUCUACCGUUCUGAUCCUCGACGCCAACCUAUUAAGACGACAGGUAUAAACUAUGCACAAUAUAUUCACUUGUUAAAUUGAUUUUUUGACAGGGCAACAGAUGAAUCGCUAGUUGAGAACUGCUCUAAUUCAUUCGACCAACUUCCGUUUGUGCUAGAGGGCACAGUCCAAGGCAGGCCAAGCUAUAUGGAAGUGAUAUCCAAGAUAUCAGCUUCAGAAAAAUAUUCCAACAGUAUGCCACCAUGUUAACAAAUCAAACUUUUAGUCGGGAGAAAACAAACUCACUGGUUACUUUUGAAAUUUAAUACACUGUUACUUUUAUCAGGCAGUGCACAAUUGCCUUCUGCAAGCAACAGCAUAGUAUUGGCAGCUUCCUUGUAAGGUUAUCAACAAAUACCUUCUCCCUCACCAUUGUUCAGCUAUAGUAGCCCAGCCAAUUCAACAUCUCAGGGUUCAGAAAUCAAGUUGUCAGUUACAUCGAGCAUUAGCCACGACAAAGCCACCAUUCAG
RNAcentral lists this long non-coding RNA (1218 nucleotides) under Triticum aestivum (bread wheat). Its description in RNAcentral is "long non-coding RNA (TAES_LNC012820)". Lineage: Eukaryota; Viridiplantae; Streptophyta; Magnoliopsida; Poales; Poaceae. The record is from RNAcentral.